RNAcentral lists this unclassified non-coding RNA (404 nucleotides) under soil metagenome. RNAcentral describes it as "partial contains 5.8S ribosomal RNA, internal transcribed spacer 2, and large subunit ribosomal RNA". The stretch from base 1 to 122 matches the Rfam family "5.8S ribosomal RNA", at positions 35 to 154 of the family's 154-position model. The record is from RNAcentral.
GAUGAAGAACGCAGCAAAAUGCGAUACUUGGUGUGAAUUGCUGAAUCCCGUGAACCAUCGAGUUUUUGAACGCAAGUUGCGCCCGAAGCCUUUUGGCCGAGGGCACGUCUGCCUGGGCGUCACGCAUCGCGUCGCCCCCCACAAUUCUCCGUAAAGGGAACGUGUGUUUUGGGGGCGGAUAUUGGUCUCCCGUGCUCAUGGCGUGGUUGGCCGAAAUAGGAGUCCUUUCGAUGGACGCACGAACUAGUGGUGGUCGUAAAAACCCUCGUCUUUUGUUUCGUGCUGUUGCUCGCAAGGUAAACUCUUUAAAAACCCCAAUGUGUCGUCUCUUGACGACGCUUCGACCGCGACCCCAGGUCAGGCGGGACUACCCGCUGAGUUUAAGCAUAUCAAUAAGCGGAGGA